UACGUAAGGGGCAAGCGUUGUCCGGAAUCACUGGGCGUAAAGCGCGCGCAGGCGGCGAUCUACGUCUGGGGUGAAAGCCCAGAGCUCAACUCUGGGACUGCCUUGGAUACGGGAUCGCUUGAGGAUCGGAGAGGCAAGGGGAAUUCCACGUGUAGCGGUGAAAUUCGUAGAGAUGUGGAGGAACACCUGUGGCGAAGGCGCCUUGCUGGCCGAUUUCUGACGCUGAGGCGCGAAAGCGUGGGGAGCAAACAGG
This 253-nucleotide ribosomal RNA is filed under the name uncultured bacterium. RNAcentral describes it as "partial 16S ribosomal RNA". It matches the Rfam family "Bacterial small subunit ribosomal RNA", at positions 524 to 776 of the family's 1533-position model. The record is from RNAcentral.